UCCGGGAGCAUUCCUAUAGCCCCAGGUUUUAGCUGCUUUCACCGUCUCUCUUGCUCUUCAUUCCUUUUCGCUCUAACCCUAACCUUUUUGCGCCUCUCUCUUCUCCAUCUUCUGCAUCUCAUAAACCAGAAACUGAAAAGAAGAAACUGAAAUCUUCAGAAAAACUAUACCGAAUCCCAAACUUAAACCCCUUUCUCAUUCUUUUUCAUCUUCUCCAUAGAACCUAAAUUCUCCAACAAACCCAAAGACAACAGCAACUGUUUGUUUCUCAUUAAACAAACCCCUCAAUUCACGUAUGAUUCUAUUUCUUCGUUUUCUCUUCUUUGAUUUGUAUUUGAUUAGAUUUAAUGUUCUUGUCAGAUUCUAGGGUUUUCAUGAAAAAAAUCAAAUUCGGAAAGAUUGUUGUAAAGACUCCAGGGUUUAAGUGAAAUUGGGAAUUUGGUAGAGAUUUUGAUGUCUUCAUGUUUGUUAAUGCAGCUUUUAUACCAAUAAACAUCAAUCUGAAUCGAUUUAAGUUGUUUUUGUGAUUUCAGUCAUGUGAAGGGUCUUACCAAGGGAUGGGAAGAUUAAACUCAAGGCAAUGCUUCCAUCAUAUAUGUCAUCUGAUAUCAAUUUGGGAGAAUUCCAAAACCUUGGCCUCAUGCUUGUUCAGGACUAUAACAUACAAAUCAUGCCAAAGACACAAGAAAAGUAAGACCAUUUCCUCUAUAUUGCUUGUUGUGUGUGGGAUUAGUUAUUGUGAUAGUAACUGAUCUGAGUUCUUCAUGAGUUUGAUUGUUUUGGGAAUUGAAGUCAUUCCUGUGUGCUUGAAUGUGAGAUUGUAACUGAUCCUAAUAUUCAAGAUUCUGGAAUUGUAUUGAAGCCAAAGCAUACUAGUAUGUAUUGAAACCAAAGCAAGAAAUGGUUGCUUGAUCUGCAGCUCAUAUCCGUUCUACACCUCUUAACAUGUUCAUCAUUCUGCAGCCUUCUCUUGUAUCCAACCUUUACUUUAUCUCCCUAGUUAGAUAGAACACUCCAGUGAAGUUUGAUUCAGAUGCUUGGCUCCUACUAUCUAACAAUUAACAUACUACUUGAUGCCUAACACUUUCGUUAGCCUUGUACUGUUUUUUAUACAGUUUCUAUACAGGUGACACAGUUCGAACUUCCUUGUGAAUUUUCUCGGAAAGUGGAAGGAAUCUGAAUAUUCAGGUGGCCAGUUCAUUCCUGUUGGUGGAAUUUCUUACUACAUUACUUCCCCCAUAAAGGUAGAAAUUGCAUUACUUUUAUUUCUAUUAUCUGACACAUGACAUUUUCUCUGCUACUUAUAACUUUAUAAUUUGCAGUUUGGCAGAUAUGGUUGCCAAUCUUUUCAUGUGAUGUUUUAUCUUCUAUUUAUGUUGUUAGCUUGUGCUUUGUUUUCUAAGACUUGGAUUGGAGUUUCAAGAUCCUCUGUUAGAGAUGUAGCUAAACAGCUCAAGGUAAUCUUAUAUAUUGCAUACUGAAGACUCUGAAAAUCACUAUAUAUGUUGUGUAUAAGUGGCAUCUAAUUUAUUUAUAAAGGUUUGCUCUGAAUGGUGUUUUGUGGGUGCAAGUGUUUGUAUGACCAUGGUUUUAGCUUAAUGGUUACUAGAUUAUAUUGUUUUCCCGCAGUGAAAAUCGAUAGAUCUUUUUUGUUCUUGCUUCUUAGUCAGGAUAUUGGGAUUCGAGCAACACCUUCGUAGUUUUGCCUUUUUUUUAGGAACUUCAGGAAAAAAGCGGUUGAAUGUGCAUGUUGAUAGACCAAAGCCACCAAAUGAUUGAUGAAAUUAUGGAUGCAAGGCGGCGAUGUUUUGCGAUAGAGAUGGAGUACUUUGGAGAUGUUUCAAGAGGUGUUUUAUGUAAAGUCUGCAAGAGAGGGUUCAAGUUAGAGUGACAAUAUUGGAUGACUGUAGACUGAGUUCAAUUUUAAUGAUUAGGUGACUGUAGAUUGAAUUCUGUUUUAAUGUUUAGACUUUGGGUAGCUAGAGUUCUUUCAUUCAAUUUGUAUUUGGAUAUUCUUUGUUUUUGGUAAUUGAUAUAAAGUUAAUAUCAGCUGUUGUGUUUAA
Molecule: long non-coding RNA, 2063 nt
Organism: Papaver somniferum (opium poppy)
Lineage: Eukaryota; Viridiplantae; Streptophyta; Magnoliopsida; Ranunculales; Papaveraceae
Exons: 2
Source: RefSeq, a predicted model, not a curated record